AGCGAACGCUGGCGGCAGGCUUAACACAUGCAAGUCGAGCGGGCCCUUCGGGGUCAGCGGCAGACGGGUGAGUAACACGUGGGAACGUACCCUUUGGUUCGGAAUAACGCUGGGAAACUAGCGCUAAUACCGGAUACGCCCUUUUGGGGAAAGGCUUGCUGCCGAAGGAUCGGCCCGCGUCUGAUUAGCUAGUUGGUGGGGUAAUGGCCUACCAAGGCGACGAUCAGUAGCUGGUCUGAGAGGAUGAUCAGCCACACUGGGACUGAGACACGGCCCAGACUCCUACGGGAGGCAGCAGUGGGGAGUAUUAGACAAUGGGCGCAAGCCUAAUCCAGCCAUGCCGCGUGAGUGAUGAAGGCCUUAGGAUUGUAAAGCUCUUUUGUCCGGGACGAUAAUGACGGUACCGGAAGAAUAAGCCCCGGCUAACUUCGUG
This 433-nucleotide ribosomal RNA is filed under the name uncultured bacterium. RNAcentral's name for it is "partial 16S ribosomal RNA". It matches the Rfam family "Bacterial small subunit ribosomal RNA", at positions 29 to 507 of the family's 1533-position model. The record is from RNAcentral.